Molecule: transfer RNA, 71 nt
Filed under: Carcinochelis bannaensis
Lineage: Eukaryota; Metazoa; Arthropoda; Insecta; Hemiptera; Phymatidae
Description: tRNA-Val
Source: RNAcentral
CAAGUUAUACCUUAAAGCUAAGGGUUGUUAUUUACAUUAACAAAAGAAUUGUGCAAGUCAGUUUAACUUGA